CUAGUGAAGUUCAUCAAGAUUGUUCAGGAAGCUGGAAUGCAUAUGAUUCUACGAAUUGGUCCUUUUGUUGCAGCCGAGUGGAAUUAUGGGGGAGUCCCGGUUUGGCUGCAUUACGUUCCAGGAACUGUCUUCAGGGCGGAUAAUGAACCAUGGAAGCAUUACAUGGAGAGUUUCACGACUUAUAUAGUGAACUUGUUGAAAAAAGAGAAGCUUUUUGCACCACAGGGCGGUCCAAUAAUCUUGUC
Non-coding RNA from Camelina sativa (false flax), 245 nucleotides. The record is from RefSeq and is a predicted model, not a curated record. NCBI's taxonomy places the organism in Eukaryota, Viridiplantae, Streptophyta, Magnoliopsida, Brassicales, Brassicaceae.